GUACUCGCUUCAGCAGCACAUAUACUAAAAUUGGAAUGAUACAGAGAUUAGCAUGGCUCCUGCACAAGGAUGACAAAAAAAUUCAUGAAGCAUUCAAUAUUUUU
Small nuclear RNA from Lontra canadensis (Northern American river otter), 104 nucleotides. Lineage: Eukaryota; Metazoa; Chordata; Mammalia; Carnivora; Mustelidae. The record is from RefSeq and is a predicted model, not a curated record.